AGCAGCCGCGGUAAUUCCAGCUCCAAUAGCGUAUAUUAAAGUUGUUGCAGUUAAAAAGCUCGUAGUUGAAUUUCGGGAUCAAUUGAUUGGUCAUGCCUACGGUAUGUACUAGUCAUAUUGGUUCUCACCUUCUAAUGAACCUUAAUGUCAUUCACUUGAUGUUUUGGGGAAUUAGGACUGUUACCUUGAAAAAUUAGAGUGUUUAAAGCAGGCUUACGCUUGAAUACAUUAGCAUGGAAUAAUGAAAUAGGACAUCGCAUUCUAUUUUGUUGGUUUCUAGGAUCGAUGUAAUGAUUAAUAGGGAUAGUUGGGGGCAUUAGUAUUCAAUUGUCAGAGGUGAAAUUCUUGGAUUUAUUGAAGACUAACUACUGCGAAAGCAUUUGCCAAGGAUGUUUUCAUUAAUCAAGAACGAAAGUUAGGGGAUCGAAGACGAUCAGAUACCGUCGUAGUCUUAACCAUAAACUAUGCCGACUAGGGAUCGGAUGAUGUUAAUUUUAAAUGA
Molecule: small RNA, 502 nt
Filed under: uncultured Entrophospora
Lineage: Eukaryota; Fungi; Glomeromycota; Glomeromycetes; Entrophosporales; Entrophosporaceae
Description: SSU rRNA
Rfam family: Eukaryotic small subunit ribosomal RNA
Source: RNAcentral